CGACUAAGAGGGGCAAUGAAAACCGCACCUGGGGCCUGUGCUGCCCACCCAGCCCCCUGCCUUUUUCCGUGACGGUCAUCCCAGGCCAGGGAGUGUCCUUCUAAGCUUUCCACAAUUUCUGGGAAAGCAGCCCGAUCCAAUGGAACCGAGGGUCUCUUCCUUCCCGCCUUGCCGGGCAGGUCCUAAACGUGCCCUUCCUCCCUUGCCCGACUGAUUCCUGCGGCUCUGGGGCCCAGAGAAGCACACGCCGCUCUCCGCUCUCCCCUCGGAGUUCUCCUCCCUCCGCUUUUAGCGGGGCCCCGAGUUCCCUGCCAGGGCCAUCGCCGCCCCUAGGACAGCGCGCAGGUCCCACUCACUUGAUCUGACCUUGCACCUGACACAAAGGCCAUCGCGGAGCACACGUGCCCCCUCCCCUGACACCUCCUAAAGGAAUGUUCCCGAGCAGAGGCCCCCUGAGGAUCUGCAGGGAGGGAGGAGGCCUGGAUCUGUGUCCCUCCUCUGUCCCCCACCCCCACUCCCCCGGUGACUUAGACGGUUGCUCAGGGAGAGGACACAAAGCUGUCUGCGAGAAUGCUGCUGUUGCCAGGAGGACAGGAAGCCGGAGAAUGAGCUGCCCUCACAAAGGGCGGGCAGGAGAAAGGCGGCUCUAAGCUGGACCACAAAGAAGGGGGGACGGUUUCCACGCCUUGCUAACACUGUGGGUGUGUGGCUCCCAUUAGUUGCUUCAACCGCAAAGUAUGAGAUCACUGGAAUAGGUUUUUAUUAGCUGCGGCUCUUAUUUUAACAUCUUUGUGGGUUCUUUAAUUCAGCCUCUCACGUGGGGUGCGGUGGGGGGAAUUGUUAUAUUAAAAACCAGGAAACAAAUUCCAGUUAUUGCUCUGACUUUGGCCCCCAGGUAUCCCAGCACCUAACUCUCCCGGCAGCAAUUGUUCACCAGCCUAAGUCCCACGGCGGAUGCGGAUGCGGGGAUGGGCAUGGUGAAUUAUUUAUUUUUGCCUCCCUGCAGUAACCAGUGUCUUGCACAGAGAGGAGCUCAGUGAAAUGUGUGCAACCGUAGGUUCGGAGCACCCUGCCAUGCUGGAUGCGGUGUAUAUGAACCCAAACAUCAGGCACCCCCCAUCCAGCCAGGCACCCCCACUGGCUAUACUCCAACCCCCCACUGCCCUUUCCUGCCUCUAGACCUUUGCUUAUGCUAUUCUUAACUGCCUGAAAGGAUCGCCCAGUCCUGGAGAUGGGGAGGUCGUGGACAGGUUUGGAAAGGAGCAAGCCGAGCAAUUUGGAUUUUCUUUAAUGAGCAAUGGGGAGUUGCUGAUGGUUUGUGAGCAGAAGAUACUUGGAUGGAUUCAAGGUAGAACCUGAUUAAGACCUUUAUAGACCCUAAGAACGCAUGCAGAUCAGGGCACUCCCAAACCUCCACCUUAUAGACCUCAAAAUGAAAAUAGUACCAAAUAGUGAAACACAAAACAUCAGAUAUACUGACAGUGAAAAAACUUGAGUCUACGUCUUCUGAAUGUAAAAUUCUGAAUGCAGAAAGAGGACUCUUCCCCACACCUUUUUCUGCCUUUCCUUUCUACCCAAAACUGCAGUGGUUUCAUCCUCUCAGAAGUUGAUAGAAUUCUAUAAGGCUUGAACGCAGAGAUCUAACAAAAUUCAGUGGCCAUUGCCCACCUGUGCAUGUUCUUCACACAAAAUUAGGUGAUGGUGCAGCAUAAUUGCUUCAGGAUAAAUCCUCUUGCUUUGGCUGCAGCCUCACAGAAGGCACUGGGAAUAGCCUCAGAGCACUGCUGUAGGAUAGCCAAGUGUCUAAAGUGUCUUUUCCUUGAAACCCUUAAAAGCCGAUGAACUCUCAAGAUAAUCUUGAUUUUGUCCUCCUAAGUUUGGUGGGCAAUGAUGAAAAUAGUUCGCGAACCACAAAAUACAAUCAUAUGCCAGCCUUCGAUUUCAGAAGGGUGAGAUUGCUAUUGUAACUGGUGAGCACUGGCACUGCAUGUAACCAAAUCCUUCAUUUUGCCUAAUUCUGGUUCAAAAGCAAAAGGGUGCUGAUUUCACGAGCGUCCUCCAGCCUUGAGCUGCUUUAACAAAUUAAACACGAAAAGGAGAUACCGUAAGGUGUCACUGAUAAAUAAAAAUCAAAACUAAAUCCACAAUCUGUCACCAUCAGGUCUCUCUAAAGCAGAGAAACCCUUUUUAAAAUAAAAGUCUUCAUCUUGUCGACCUCCAUGCUCUAAUGAAAUACAACUAUUUCUGUGUAGCUUGUUUCAAAUCCCAUGUUAAACAAAGAGAAGUUCCAUUAUCUUUCGGGCUUUAACAUCCCAGGAUAAAUUGGCUGUUCGUCUAUUAUUCACCCACCACUGUUGGAAAUUAAGUCUUUGUUACCGACAGGGGUAAAUCUGAGCUGGGCAGAUCAAUAGAAUUAUUUCUCUCCUCAGACAAUAGAAGUUAGGAAGAGAAUGAUUAGCAAUGUCUUCUUUUUUUUCUCUUUUCUUUUUUCUUUUUUUUUUUUUUAAUUCUGCCUUUCAUUAGCAGUUCAUGCUCCAGAAAAGGCCUUUUGAGUUGCUGAACAAAAGGCGGUUCCUAAGGUUCAACAGCUUCAUGUAUCAGGGAAAUUUUCUGCAACUCUGAAACCUAAGUACCUGGCAAAAAAUAAAUUAAUUAAUUUUAAAAAAACACAUAUUCUGUAUGCAGUCUGGUGUCAGAACCGUAGGAAAGCCUUCAUAAUUAACACUCUUUGAAUGUUAUAGGUCAAUGCUAAGUCCUGCGUUACUACGUGGAAGACCAUCAAUAGCCAUAAGGGCCGAAUAAAAAGAAGAAAGCACAGACUAAACAAAAUGCUUCGGCAAUAAGAAUAGCAGCUCUGCUCUCUGCAGACAGACUGCUCUGACUGGCUUCACGCUUUGGCCCCACGUGGUUUCUUUGGAAACUACUUGUCAUGAAAUUUUAUGAUCUGUUAAAAAAAAAAAAAA
Molecule: long non-coding RNA, 2963 nt
Filed under: Canis lupus familiaris (dog)
Lineage: Eukaryota; Metazoa; Chordata; Mammalia; Carnivora; Canidae
Description: lncRNA (ENSCAFG00845013067.1)
Source: RNAcentral